AGAGGGGCUUCCACGACGGCGACGUCUGGGGGCCUUUCUUUUUAUC
Molecule: antisense RNA, 46 nt
Filed under: Ensifer adhaerens
Lineage: Bacteria; Pseudomonadati; Pseudomonadota; Alphaproteobacteria; Hyphomicrobiales; Rhizobiaceae
Description: ctRNA
Rfam family: ctRNA
About the family: This family represents a group of ctRNAs (or counter-transcribed RNAs) from p42d and related plasmids. ctRNAs are small, highly structured, antisense sequences which are involved in negative regulation. Members of this family are known to bind to the mRNA of repC causing translational repression. This model contains the predicted stem-loop structure followed by a U-rich tract which is proposed to act as a Rho-independent transcriptional terminator.
Source: RNAcentral